GCAAGUCGAGGGGUAACGAAAGUAGCUUGCUACUAGACGACGACCGGCGCACGGGUGAGUAACACGUAUGCAACCUACCUUUUACAGAGGGAUAGCCCAGAGAAAUUUGGAUUAAUACCUCAUAGUAUUUUUGAAUCGCAUGAUUUAGAGAUUAAAACUCCGGUGGUAAAAGAUGGGCAUGCGUUCUAUUAGUUAGUUGGUGAGGUAACGGCUCACCAAGACAAUGAUGCUUAGGGGGUCUGAGAGGAUAGUC
This 253-nucleotide ribosomal RNA is filed under the name uncultured bacterium. RNAcentral describes it as "partial 16S ribosomal RNA". It matches the Rfam family "Bacterial small subunit ribosomal RNA", at positions 57 to 305 of the family's 1533-position model. The record is from RNAcentral.